AGCAGCCGCGGUAAUUCCAGCUCCAAUAGCGUAUAUUAAAGUUGUUGCAGUUAAAAAGCUCGUAGUUGAAUUUCGGGAUCAGUACGCCGGUCGUGCCUUCGGUAUGCACUGGUGUCACUGGUUUCUCCCUUCUGAAGAACCAUCAUGCCAUUAAGUUGGUGUGGCGGGGAAUCAGGACUGUUACUUUGAAAAAAUUAGAGUGUUUAAAGCAGGCUCGCGCUUGAAUACAUUAGCAUGGAAUAAUGAAAUAGGACGUUUGACCCUAUUUUGUUGGUUUCUAGGAUCGACGUAAUGAUUAAUAGGGAUAGUUGGGGGCAUUAGUAUUCAAUUGUCAGAGGUGAAAUUCUUGGAUUUAUUGAAGACUAACUACUGCGAAAGCAUUUGCCAAGGAUGUUUUCAUUAAUCAAGAACGAAAGUUAGGGGAUCGAAGACGAUCAGAUACCGUCGUAGUCUUAACCAUAAACUAUGCCGACUAGGGAUCGGAUGAUGUUAACUUUUUAAUGACUCAUUCGGCGCCUUA
This 520-nucleotide unclassified non-coding RNA is filed under the name uncultured Glomus. RNAcentral's name for it is "SSU rRNA". It matches the Rfam family "Eukaryotic small subunit ribosomal RNA", at positions 569 to 1090 of the family's 1831-position model. Lineage: Eukaryota; Fungi; Glomeromycota; Glomeromycetes; Glomerales; Glomeraceae. The record is from RNAcentral.